Oncorhynchus tshawytscha (Chinook salmon) is the source of this 405-nucleotide long non-coding RNA. NCBI's taxonomy places the organism in Eukaryota, Metazoa, Chordata, Actinopteri, Salmoniformes, Salmonidae. The record is from Ensembl.
AGGGGCGGCAGGUAAACAAAGGGGCGGCAGGUAGCUGCAGGUAAACAAAGGGGCGGCAGGUAGCUGCAUGUAAACAAAGGGGCGGCAGGUAGCUGCAGGUAAACAAAGGGGCGUCAGGUAGCGGCAGGUAAACAAAGGGGCGGCAGGUAGCUGCAGGUAAACAAAGGGGCGGAAGGUAGCUGCAGGUAAACAAAGGGGCGGAAGGUAGCGGCAGGUAAACAAAGUGGCGGCAGGUAGCUGCAGGUAAACAAAGGGGCGGCAGGUAGCUGCAGCUAAACAAAGGGGCGGCAGGUAGCGGCAGGUAAACAAAGGGGCGGCAGGUAGCUGCAGGUAAACAAAGGGGCGGCAGGUAGCUGCAGGUAAACAAAGGGGCGGCAGGUAGCUGCAGGUAAACAAAGGGGCGGC